CAGUAACGGCGAGUGAAGCGGCAACAGCUCAAAUUUGAAAUCUGGUCCCCAGGGCCCGAGUUGUAAUUUGUAGAGGAUGCUUUUGGCGCGGCGCCUUCCGAGUUCCCUGGAACGGGACGCCAUAGAGGGUGAGAGCCCCGUCUGGUCGGAUGCCAAGCCUCUGUAAAGCUCCUUCGACGAGUCGAGUAGUUUGGGAAUGCUGCUCAAAAUGGGAGGUAUAUGUCUUCUAAAGCUAAAUAUUGGCCAGAGACCGAUAGCGCACAAGUAGAGUGAUCGAAAGAUGAAAAGCACUUUGAAAAGAGGGUUAAACAGUACGUGAAAUUGUUGAAAGGGAAGCGCCUAUGACCAGACUUGGGCCCGGUGAAUCAUCCAGCGUUCUCGCUGGUGCACUUUGCCGGGCACAGGCCAGCAUCAGUUUGGCGCGGGGGAGAAAGGCUUUGGGAACGUGGCUCCCCCGGGAGUGUUAUAGCCCAUUGCGCAAUACCUUGCGCCGGACUGAGGUACGCGCAUUGCAAGGAUGCUGGCGUAAUGGUCAUCAGCGACCCGUCUUGAAACACGGACCAAGGAGUCGUCUUCGUAUGCGAGUGUUCGGGUGUCAAACCCCUACGCGUAAUGAAAGUGAACGCAGGUGAGAGCUUCGGCGCAUCAUCGACCGAUCCUGAUGUUCUCGGAUGGAUUUGAGUAAGAGCAUACGGGGCCGGACCCGAAAGAAGGUGAACUAUGCCUGUAUAGGGUGAAGCCAGAGGAAACUCUGGUGGAGGCUCGCAGCGGUUCUGACGUGCGAAUCGAUCGUCAAAUAUGGGCAUG
Molecule: ribosomal RNA, 807 nt
Filed under: Ascopolyporus galloides
Lineage: Eukaryota; Fungi; Ascomycota; Sordariomycetes; Hypocreales; Cordycipitaceae
Description: partial 28S ribosomal RNA
Rfam family: Eukaryotic large subunit ribosomal RNA
Source: RNAcentral